UACGAAGGGGGCUAGCGUUGCUCGGAAUCACUGGGCGUAAAGCGCACGUAGGCGGCUCGUUAAGUCAGGGGUGAAAUCCUGGAGCUCAACUCCAGAACUGCCUUUGAUACUGGCGAUCUUGAGUUCGGGAGAGGUGAGUGGAACUGCGAGUGUAGAGGUGAAAUUCGUAGAUAUUCGCAAGAACACCAGUGGCGAAGGCGGCUUACUGGUCCGGUUCUGACGCUGAGGCGCGAAAGCGUGGGGAGCAAACAGG
This 253-nucleotide ribosomal RNA is filed under the name uncultured bacterium. Its description in RNAcentral is "partial 16S ribosomal RNA". It matches the Rfam family "Bacterial small subunit ribosomal RNA", at positions 524 to 776 of the family's 1533-position model. The record is from RNAcentral.